UUGAACGCUGGCGGCAUGCCUUACACGUGCAAGUCGAACGGUAGAGGGGCAACCCUUGAGAGUGGCGAACGGGUGAGUAAUGCAUCGGAACGUGCCCAGUCGUGGGGGAUAACGCAGCGAAAGCUGUGCUAAUACCGCAUGUGAUCUGUGGAUGAAAGCAGGGGACCGCAAGGCCUUGUGCGAUUGGAGCGGCCGAUGUCAGAUUAGCUAGUUGGUAGGGUAAAAGCCUACCAAGGCGACGAUCUGUAGCUG
Molecule: ribosomal RNA, 252 nt
Filed under: uncultured bacterium
Lineage: Bacteria
Description: partial 16S ribosomal RNA
Rfam family: Bacterial small subunit ribosomal RNA
Source: RNAcentral